GAUGAACGCUAGCGGGAGGCCUAACACAUGCAAGCCGAGCGGUAUUUGUUCUUCGGAACAGAGAGAGCGGCGCACGGGUGCGGAACACGUGUGCAACCUGCCUUUAUCUGGGGGAUAGCCUUUCGAAAGGAAGAUUAAUACCCCAUAAUAUAUUGAGUGGCAUCACUUGAUAUUGAAAACUCCGGUGGAUAGAGAUGGGCACGCGCAAGAUUAGAUAGUUGGUGAGGUAACGGCUCACCAAGUCAAUGAUCUUUAGGGGGCCUGAGAGGGUGAUCCCCCACACUGGUACUGAGACACGGACCAGACUCCUACGGGAGGCAGCAGUGAGGAAUAUUGGACAAUGGGUUAGCGCCUGAUCCAGCCAUCCCGCGUGAAGGACGACGGCCCUAUGGGUUGUAAACUUCUUUUGUAUAGGGAUAAACCUACUCUCGUGAGAGUAGCUGAAGGUACUAUACGAAUAAGCACCGGCUAACUCCGCG
This 479-nucleotide ribosomal RNA is filed under the name uncultured bacterium. RNAcentral's name for it is "partial 16S ribosomal RNA". It matches the Rfam family "Bacterial small subunit ribosomal RNA", at positions 28 to 507 of the family's 1533-position model. The record is from RNAcentral.